Molecule: ribosomal RNA, 253 nt
Filed under: uncultured bacterium
Lineage: Bacteria
Description: partial 16S ribosomal RNA
Rfam family: Bacterial small subunit ribosomal RNA
Source: RNAcentral
UACGUAGGGUGCAGGCGUUAAUCGGAUUUACUGGGCGUAAAGCGUGCGCAGGCGGUCUGCUAAGACAGGUGUGAAAUCCCCGGGCUUAACCUGGGAACUGCGCUUGUUACUGGCAGGCUGGAGUGUGGCAGAGGGGGGUGGAAUUCCACGUGUAGCAGUGAAAUGCGUAGAGAUGUGGAGGAACACCGAUGGCGAAGGCAGCCCCCUGGGCUAACACUGACGCUCAGGCGCGAAAGCCAGGGGAGCAAACGGG